AUUUCUUGUGGCAUUUUAUAUGUCCAUGUGUAUCUAUGUGUGUGCAUGCAUAUGUGUGUGUGUGUAUCCGUAUGCACACAUACACACACAUAUCCCACAACACA
This 104-nucleotide microRNA precursor is filed under the name Otolemur garnettii (small-eared galago). Its description in RNAcentral is "miRNA (ENSOGAG00000021266.1)". The record is from RNAcentral. Lineage: Eukaryota; Metazoa; Chordata; Mammalia; Primates; Galagidae.